This 578-nucleotide ribosomal RNA is filed under the name Pyricularia cortaderiae. Its description in RNAcentral is "eukaryotic LSU rRNA". The stretch from base 196 to 349 matches the Rfam family "5.8S ribosomal RNA". Lineage: Eukaryota; Fungi; Ascomycota; Sordariomycetes; Magnaporthales; Pyriculariaceae. The record is from RNAcentral.
CUUGGUCAUUUAGAGGAAGUAAAAGUUGUAACAAGGUCUCCGUUGGUGAACCAGCGGAGGGAUCAUUACUGAGUUGCAAAACUCCAACCCAUGUGAACUUUACCUUUAUUGUUGCUUCGGCGGGCUCGCCCGCCGGAGGUAUCAAAAUUCAUGAAUUUAUUAAGCAUCUCUGAGCAAACAAGACAAAAUAAUCAAAACUUUCAACAACGGAUCUCUUGGUUCUGGCAUCGAUGAAGAACGCAGCGAAAUGCGAUAAGUAAUGUGAAUUGCAGAAUUCAGUGAAUCAUCGAAUCUUUGAACGCACAUUGCGCCCGCCGGUAUUCCGGCGGGCAUGCCUGUUCGAGCGUCAUUUCAACCCUCAAGCCUUUUAUGGUUUGGUGUUGGGGCACCCAGCUUUCUAGUAGGGGCCCCCAAAUUCAUCGGCGGGCUCGUCGGAACACUGAGCGCAGUAAAACGCGGUAAAACGCGCCCUCGCUUGGCUGUGCUGACUUGUUCCAGCCGCUAAACUUUUAUUACAAGGUUGACCUCGGAUCAGGUAGGAAUACCCGCUGAACUUAAGCAUAUCAAUAAGCGGAGGA